GGCCCCCCUGCCCCAACUAAUCAGCGUCCUUGCUGUUCCUGGCUCACUCUCACCUUGGGAUCUCUCUCUCCUGAGGAACCAGGACCCCAGCAGGAAAUGCAGCUGAGCACAAAGGGAUGGAACAAGCUCUGUCCACUGCUUUAUUAAGCCCCAGCAGAAAAUACACUGAAGCCAGGUUCUCAGUCACUUCAACGUUUCAUCUGGGCUUCAAACUCUGAGGAAGCGAGCCCCACGAAUCCCCUGUGGACAGGCAUGACAACGCUGGCAGGCGUGUGCCAGGCAGGGAGAGGAUAGGAUGGCUGGUGGACCCUCAGAAAGACCCGACCUGAGCUUUCCCUGUAGGGACUGAGCAGAGCGGAGAAUUGAGCCCCUAAAGUGAGCAGCACAGAGCCACGGGGGGCAGGGGCAUCCCUGGCUGCAUAGUGGGAAGGCAAUGGCCUGGCCGCCAGGGACAGGCACAGGGACGCCCAGCCAGGGCCCACUGUCUUCCCGUGUGAGGAGUGAGGCUCCAGUGCAAAGCUCUGCUGCGUGCAAACACAUCUUACCUUUUCCUUAGGUCUUCGGCACACUCCUCACAGGGGUAAAACUUAGAAAAUAAAUGUAUGAACUGGG
RNAcentral lists this long non-coding RNA (612 nucleotides) under Pongo abelii (Sumatran orangutan). Its description in RNAcentral is "lincRNA". Lineage: Eukaryota; Metazoa; Chordata; Mammalia; Primates; Hominidae. The record is from RNAcentral.